Molecule: ribosomal RNA, 528 nt
Filed under: uncultured bacterium
Lineage: Bacteria
Description: bacterial SSU rRNA
Rfam family: Bacterial small subunit ribosomal RNA
Source: RNAcentral
AAUAGAUACCCGGGUAGUCCACGCCGUAAACGAUGAGUGCUAAGUGUUAGAGGGUUUCCGCCCUUUAGUGCUGCAGCAAACGCAUUAAGCACUCCGCCUGGGGAGUACGGUCGCAAGACUGAAACUCAAAGGAAUUGACGGGGGCCCGCACAAGCGGUGGAGCAUGUGGUUUAAUUCGAAGCAACGCGAAGAACCUUACCAGGUCUUGACAUCCUCUGACAACCCUAGAGAUAGGGCUUCCCCUUCGGGGGCAGAGUGACAGGUGGUGCAUGGUUGUCGUCAGCUCGUGUCGUGAGAUGUUGGGUUAAGUCCCGCAACGAGCGCAACCCUUGAUCUUAGUUGCCAGCAUUCAGUUGGGCACUCUAAGGUGACUGCCGGUGACAAACCGGAGGAAGGUGGGGAUGACGUCAAAUCAUCAUGCCCCUUAUGACCUGGGCUACACACGUGCUACAAUGGGCAGAACAAAGGGCAGCGAAGCCGCGUGGCUAAGCCAAUCCCACAAAUCUGUUCUCAGUUCGGAUCGCUACG